This 372-nucleotide ribosomal RNA is filed under the name uncultured organism. RNAcentral's name for it is "bacterial SSU rRNA". It matches the Rfam family "Bacterial small subunit ribosomal RNA", at positions 526 to 896 of the family's 1533-position model. The record is from RNAcentral.
CAGAGGGUGCAAGCGUUGUUCGGAUUUACUGGGCGUAAAGCGCGUGUAGGCGGUGACAUAAGUCGGAUGUGAAAUCCCUCGGCUUAACCGAGGACGUGCACCCGAUACUGUGCCACUUGAGUACCGGAGGGGAUGGCGGAAUUCCUGGUGUAGAGGUGAAAUUCGUAGAUAUCAGAAGGAACACCUGUGGCGAAGGCGGCCAUCUGGACGGUAACUGACGCUGAGACGCGAAAGCGUGGGUAGCAAACAGGAUUAGAUACCCUGGUAGUCCACGCUGUAAACGAUGAGUGCUAGGCGUCGCGGGUAUUGACCCCUGCGGUGCCGAAGUUAACACGUUAAGCACUCCGCCUGGGGAGUACGGUCGCAAGAUUA